ACCCCCUUAGUAUAUAAAUUACACUACUUUUUCAAGGUAACAAUGAGAAACAUUCUCAGGGAGUA
This 65-nucleotide transfer RNA is filed under the name Lepisma saccharinum. RNAcentral describes it as "Lepisma saccharina tRNA-Glu". The record is from RNAcentral. Lineage: Eukaryota; Metazoa; Arthropoda; Insecta; Zygentoma; Lepismatidae.